Molecule: ribosomal RNA, 207 nt
Filed under: uncultured bacterium
Lineage: Bacteria
Description: partial 16S ribosomal RNA
Rfam family: Bacterial small subunit ribosomal RNA
Source: RNAcentral
CGCGUAGGCGGUUCGCUAAGUUGAAUGUGAAAACUCUGGGCUUAACCCAGAGCCUGCAUCCAAAACUGGCGAACUGGAGUACUGGAGGGGAAAGCAGAAUUCCUGGUGUAGCGGUGAAAUGCGUAGAUAUCAGGAGGAACACCGGUGGCGAAGGCGGCUUUCUGGACAGUAACUGACGCUGAGGCGCGAAAGCCGGGGGAGCAAACA